UACGUAGGGGGCAAGCGUUGUCCGGAAUCAUUGGGCGUAAAGAGCGUGUAGGCGGCCAGAAAAGUCCGCUGUGAAAACUCGAGGCUCAACUUCGAGCUGUCGGUGGAAACUUUCUGGCUAGAGUCUGGAAGAGGAGAAUGGAAUUCCUGGUGUAGCGGUGAAAUGCGCAGAUAUCAGGAAGAACACCCGUGGCGAAGGCGGUUCUCUGGGACGGUACUGACGCUGAGACGCGAAAGCGUGGGGAGCGAACAGG
Molecule: ribosomal RNA, 253 nt
Filed under: uncultured bacterium
Lineage: Bacteria
Description: partial 16S ribosomal RNA
Rfam family: Bacterial small subunit ribosomal RNA
Source: RNAcentral